UUGCAGAACUCGCAGGUACCUUGGUGGAGCAAGAGCUUGUCAUGUUUGCUUCCCUUCCCUUGCCCAGAGAAUUCACCCAACCAAAGCCAACAGGAGUUUUCCCUGCAGGGAAGGCCAGAGCUGCCACCAAGGAGGGAAGCAGAGCCCCGUGGCUGUGGGAAGGACUGACCCUUUGCAGGCUGACAACAUGACAAUGCCAUGACCCAGAUGGGAGUGCAGAGCAGGUCUGGACUGACAGGACAGUCAUCCAUGACCACAUCAGCCUGACAUUCCCUGAUGAUGGCAACGGGAUGAACUCGGAGCAGCUGCACAAAAUACUAAGCUGUACCCAUGGACAAGCUUGGAUUCCAACCGUUCUGUUCACAGCAAUGCAGCUGUGGCAGUUCCCUGCUUAGAGAGAAGCUGGAAUUCGUUGGCACUGGAGCACGUUGUCCCAGGAAGCGACUACUCCCUGCCAGGACUAUUUGGUACCCGAAGCCGAGCACGCAGAUCAUCCUGGGAGGACAAAGAGCCAAAACACAGCUGGUUUCCAAAGCUGUCUUCCCCCACACUUGUCAUGUGGGCACAGGGAUACCACACUUGCAAGGGCUUCUCCAAAGGUUUUUCUGCCAGGAGUGCUCCAGGCUUUCAGAAGGUAACUUUCCAGCCCAGAACAGAAACACGGACCUGCUGCC
Molecule: long non-coding RNA, 674 nt
Filed under: Manacus vitellinus (golden-collared manakin)
Lineage: Eukaryota; Metazoa; Chordata; Aves; Passeriformes; Pipridae
Description: lncRNA (ENSMVIG00005012192.1)
Source: RNAcentral